This 243-nucleotide ribosomal RNA is filed under the name uncultured bacterium. RNAcentral's name for it is "partial 16S ribosomal RNA". It matches the Rfam family "Bacterial small subunit ribosomal RNA", at positions 81 to 339 of the family's 1533-position model. The record is from RNAcentral.
UACUCGGGCGGCGAGCGGCGGACGGCUGAGUAACGCGUGGGAACGUGCCCCAAAGUGAGGAAUAAGCUCAAGAAAUUGAGUCUAAUGCCGCAUAUGAUCUUCGGAUUAAAGGAUUUAUCCGCUUUGGGAGCGGCCCGCGUCAGAUUAGGUAGUUGGUGAGGUAAAGGCUCACCAAGCCGACGAUCUGUAGCUGGUCUGAGAGGAUGACCAGCCAGACUGGAACUGAGACACGGUCCAGACUCC